This 637-nucleotide ribosomal RNA is filed under the name Aloconota currax. Its description in RNAcentral is "partial 16S ribosomal RNA". It matches the Rfam family "Bacterial large subunit ribosomal RNA", at positions 1819 to 2758 of the family's 2925-position model. Lineage: Eukaryota; Metazoa; Arthropoda; Insecta; Coleoptera; Staphylinidae. The record is from RNAcentral.
GUCUUUUUGAUUUUAAUUUAAAGUCUGACCUGCCCAAUGAGUAGUUUAAUGGCCGCAGUAUUUUGACUGUGCAAAGGUAGCAUAAUCAUUAGUUUCUUAAUUAGAAACUAGAAUGAAAGGUUGGACGAGAAAAUAACUGUCUCUUUAUAAAUUAGUUAAAAUUUUAUUUUUAAGUAAAAAAGCUUAAAUAAUUUUAAAAGACGAGAAGACCCUAUAGAGUUUUAUUUUAAUUUAAUUAUAAUAUUUAAUUAGAAUAUUUUAAUUUUUAUUUAAAUUAAAAUUUAAUUGGGGUGAUUGAAAAAUUUAUUUAACUUUUUUUAAAUAUUAACAUUUAUUUAUGAAUUUGUGAUCCAUUUUUUUAUGAUUAUAAGAUUAAAUUACCUUAGGGAUAACAGCGUAAUUUCUUUUUAGAGUUCAAAUCAUUAAAGAAGUUUGCGACCUCGAUGUUGGAUUAAAAUUUAUUUUUGGUGUAGUAGCUAAAAAAUUAGGUCUGUUCGACCUUUAAAAUUUUACAUGAUCUGAGUUUAAACCGGUGUGAGCCAGGUUGGUUUCUAUCUUUAAAUUAAUUAAAUAUUUUAGUACGAAAGGACCAAAUAUUUUAAAUAUUUUAUUAUAAGUGAUUUUUAUUAAUAUUUUA